This 467-nucleotide ribosomal RNA is filed under the name Ovis aries (sheep). Its description in RNAcentral is "partial 12S ribosomal RNA". The record is from RNAcentral. Lineage: Eukaryota; Metazoa; Chordata; Mammalia; Artiodactyla; Bovidae.
UAUAGGUUUGGUCCCAGCCUUCCUGUUAACUUUCAAUAGACUUAUACAUGCAAGCAUCCACGCCCCGGUGAGUAACGCCCUUCGAAUCACACAGGACUAAAAGGAGCAGGUAUCAAGCACACACUCUUGUAGCUCACAACGCCUUGCUUAACCACACCCCCACGGGAGACAGCAGUAACAAAAAUUAAGCCAUAAACGAAAGUUUGACUAAGCCAUAUUGACUAGGGUUGGUAAAUCUCGUGCCAGCCACCGCGGUCAUACGAUUGACCCAAGCUAACAGGAGUACGGCGUAAAGCGUGUUAAAGCAUCAUACUAAAUAGAGUUAAAUUUUAAUUAAACUGUAAAAAGCCAUAAUUAUAACAAAAAUAAAUGACGAAAGUAACCCUACAAUAGCUGAUACACCAUAGCUAAGACCCAAACUGGGAUUAGAUACCCCACUUCGUUUAGCCCUAAACACAAAUAAUUAU